CACGUACUGUGCGAACGUUAUUCGGAAUCACUGGGCUUAAAGGGUGCGUAGGCGGCGAUUCAAGUCAGGUGUGAAAUGUCUGAGCUCAACUGAGGCAUUGCGCUUGAAACUGAAUUGCUAGAGUAUCUUAGGGGUGUGCGGAACUGCCAGUGGAACGGUGAAAUGUGUUGAUAUUGGCAGGAACUCCGGAGGCGAAAGCGGCACACUGGAGGAUAACUGACGCUGAGGCACGAAAGCCAAGGGAGCAAACGGGAUUAGAUGCCCCGGUAGUCUUGUCCGUAAACGAUGAGCACUGGGCGGGAGGGGAUUUCCCUUUUCUGCCGUAGCGAAAGCGUUAAGUGCUCCGCCUGGGGAGUAUGGUCGCAAGGCUG
This 371-nucleotide ribosomal RNA is filed under the name uncultured prokaryote. RNAcentral describes it as "bacterial SSU rRNA". It matches the Rfam family "Bacterial small subunit ribosomal RNA", at positions 524 to 896 of the family's 1533-position model. The record is from RNAcentral.